GGGGAUGCAAGGCAUAGACAGUAGGCCUUUUGUCCAAGAUGCAUGUCGAGCAUGGACGUAACUCGCUAAAAUUCGUCUAAAUGUUAAUUGCAAAAUUAACUUCUAAGGUGAAGGGUAUAGCUUCUUCAUACUUCGGUAUGAAGGACUUUUCUUUCGCUCCAGCUUACGCUUUAGCCUAAGCCGGUGUCUCAUUCAUAGACUUCCGAUAUAUGGAUUGAGGCAUAAUAUUAUCGGGAUAGGAAAAAGAAUUUUUCGACUUUCUUCCGAAACACAGAGAAUCGAUUAAAAAAUAUUUCGCUUGCUUUUUAAUUUUUUAAUUUAAAACAAACAGGCACGCUACACAUGUAGACUUCUUGGUAAAAACCUUCUGCACGGGGAUUCGAUUUCCCCCAUCUCCACAA
Molecule: transfer-messenger RNA, 401 nt
Filed under: Candidatus Nomurabacteria bacterium RIFCSPLOWO2_01_FULL_40_15
Lineage: Bacteria; Candidatus Nomuraibacteriota
Also listed under: 1 other name
Rfam family: transfer-messenger RNA
About the family: Bacterial tmRNA, also known as 10Sa RNA or SsrA, is named for its dual tRNA and mRNA-like properties. Its role is to liberate the mRNA from a stalled ribosome.
Source: RNAcentral